RNAcentral lists this microRNA precursor (92 nucleotides) under Choloepus hoffmanni (Hoffmann's two-fingered sloth). RNAcentral's name for it is "miRNA (ENSCHOG00000015897.1)". Lineage: Eukaryota; Metazoa; Chordata; Mammalia; Pilosa; Megalonychidae. The record is from RNAcentral.
AUCACCUGGGGAUCUUGUUGCAUUGCAGAUUAUGAUUCAAAAGAUCUGGGUUAGGGCCUGAGAUUCUGCAUUUUCAACAAGUUCUCAGGUGA